UGGCGCCCAACUUGGGGCACAAAGAAUGGGAAUUGAGCUGAACGUCGCUGGAAGAGCUGGCUGUUUCAUUUAGGUCGCCGCCUUGUCUCAUAACAGCCACCACUGACAAUUUGUCUGUGAUACGGGCCUGAAGAAGGUGAGUAAAGACCUGCAUAGUGGCCACCGCGUGCUGACCCGUCUGCGAUAUGGGCUAUGAGGGUAAGUGGAGCGACGAAACUAUGGGGCAAACACUAAGUAAGCAGGAACUCUUUGUGAAGGGGUUAAAAGCAUCACUCAAGACACGAGGAGCCAGGGUUAAAACGAAAGACCUUAUAGCAUUUUUUAUACUCCUAGAGGACGUGUGUCCUU
Regulatory RNA element from Oryctolagus cuniculus (rabbit), 348 nucleotides. It matches the Rfam family "Mason-Pfizer monkey virus packaging signal". Rfam says of the family: The packaging signal is located in the 5' UTR and is required for specific RNA encapsidation. NCBI's taxonomy places the organism in Eukaryota, Metazoa, Chordata, Mammalia, Lagomorpha, Leporidae. The record is from Rfam.